GACGAACGCUGGCGGCAUGCUUAACACAUGCAAGUCGAACGAAGACCGAUGGACGAUUGCUUCUAUCAAUCUUAGUGGGGAACGGGUGACUAACGCGUAAUCAAUCUGCCCUUGAGAGGGGUACAACAGUUGGAAACGAUUGCUAAUACAGAAUACGAUCUAACCUGGGCAUCCCGGCAAGAUGAAAGGUGGUCUGUAUGUAUAAGCUAUCACUGAAGGAGGGGAUUGAGUCUGAUUAGCAAGUUGGGGGGGUAAACGGCCACCAAGGCGAAGCACAGUAGCCGGUCGGAGAGGAUGAACGGCCAAAUUGGGACGGGAACACGGCCCAGACUCCUACGGGAGGGAGCAGUGGGGGAUUUUCCGCAAAGGACGAAAGUCGGACUGAAGAACGCCGGGUGAGAGAUGACGGCCGUCAGGUUGUAAAGCUGUGUUAGUCGGGACGAAAGGCCUUCUUGCUAAUAGUGGGAAAGAAUGACGGUACCGGAAGAGAAAGCCACGGCUAACUACGUG
RNAcentral lists this ribosomal RNA (510 nucleotides) under uncultured bacterium. RNAcentral describes it as "partial 16S ribosomal RNA". It matches the Rfam family "Bacterial small subunit ribosomal RNA", at positions 28 to 507 of the family's 1533-position model. The record is from RNAcentral.